Molecule: ribosomal RNA, 312 nt
Filed under: Triticum aestivum (bread wheat)
Lineage: Eukaryota; Viridiplantae; Streptophyta; Magnoliopsida; Poales; Poaceae
Description: partial small subunit ribosomal RNA
Source: RNAcentral
AUGGCGGCGGGGACCUUGCUCGCGGCAUGGGUGGCCCGCAGGCAUGGCGGUGAGCUUCUCAUGGACAGCGACGGCGGCACAACGGCGUUGGUGAUCAGAUCUGACAUGGACGGCUCUGGCUGUCCCCUUCAUCGUCGGCAGGGUCAUGGGUUCUUGGGCGCGGCGCAGCGAGCAUGUGUGGCGGCUGUUCUUCAGAUCUGCUGGGAGUUGCGCUGGCCUGCACGGCAGAGGAUGGUGGCGGAAAAUGAUCUCCACAAAUGUAACAAUGUCUACUCACCGCCCAGUUCUCAUCUGCUGAAGCUAGUAAACUAG